Passer domesticus (house sparrow) is the source of this 3719-nucleotide long non-coding RNA. RefSeq lists it as uncharacterized. The record is from RefSeq and is a predicted model, not a curated record. Lineage: Eukaryota; Metazoa; Chordata; Aves; Passeriformes; Passeridae. The transcript is spliced from 4 exons.
UUGCUUUUAGUGGAUGGCAGUGAUUGCAGGGUACUCUGAGAUCCUGGUCCCCUCUCUGUCCACAAGAAAUAUAUGUUGGAGCACAGCAUGCAUGUGGCAAUCUCCAACACAUUUUUUUGUUUCCUUCUCCACACAAAUCAGGGAACAGAGUGUCUGCUGAACUUAAGCCUUGUUCUAACAGGGAACCUAAAAAUGGCUGAGACUUGUGCCUGUACCCUGUAAGUCCCACGCUAUUGUAGCUUUGAUGAGGAAGGACAUCGUGUUAAGUACACAGUGUUGAAGCCUCAGGAAGCAAACAAAUCAAAGAGAGAGAGAAACAGAAAUGUUGGAGCUGAGAGAGCAUGAUUUACCACAUACUCCCGGGUGUCACCUCUAAGGACUGGACUUUUCCCUUCCCAUUUGACAGGUUAAAAAGGAAAAGGACUGUGAGUUCUUUCAAAGUUCUAUGGUGUGCAACUGUCUGGGGCUACCAGCUCUCAGGACCAAGUCCUCAAGAUUAUGAAGUGUUCAGCUGGGCUCAUGUUAAGAUUUCAUCUUCCAGUUGUGCUGGCAGUUUCAUGACAUGACAGCCCUCAGGAAACAAGCCUGCAGCAGAAGUUACUACAUGAACUCCUGGGUGAAUAGACAUGACAUUUGAAAUCCUUCCAUCUAGAACAUGUUUGGACAGACUAAAUGUCCCCCAGCAGAAAUCCCACAGCUGCUUUGAAACAAUGAUUAUCACAGUGAACAUUGUCACUGCAGCAGCUGGGAGCAGCUCAAAGAACUGCUGCAUUUGGGGGGGCUGGGGAGAGCCUGGCAACAAGCACAAGGUGCUUUACCAGGCGACUCUGUCUGGCUCACUGGAAAAAUGAUCAGGCUAGUAGGAGAUAGAACACUCUAAUCUAACACCUGAUUUUUUAAUUUAUUUUUUUUUGCCUCUGCAUUUUAAUAUACGAAAAAAACUUAUUUUCUUUGUUUUUUUCCCCUUGACUGACCUUUCUUGGUUUAUUUUCUGUCCUGUCUGCUGGGAUAUGGCACAGGGAACUUAAUUUGUUGACAUUGUUGAAACUUCCCCGAGAAAGCAAGUUAAUGUUUCAAAUAUUCAUAAGGAGAGAGGCACCAGGAGCGUCUGCUGAGCCUCUGUUUUCCACUAGAUACCAGUAGCUGUCCUAUCAGUUAACAAUCUCUGAUUAUGAAGCAUGUACUAUAAUUAGUGGAAGAAAUUUCAUUGCAUUUUGAGAAUGUGAAAAGCUGUUUUAUUAUUUAGGGGCCACAAUGGUAAAGUGGGGUUGAUGGUCCUUUUAGGAAGGUCAGAAAGACUAGGCAUGUCUGUAUGUAGAAAAAGGAAAAAGAAUCUUACGUUCAUUGUUCAUGUUGGCAGAGUUACAAAUAGCUUUCCCAUAUCAUCUUUCAGACUAGCAUCUGCUACUAGGUUGAAAUUAAAUUGGAGUGAGGUUGCUUAGAUGUGUUGGGAAAUGAGCCUGGCAAAAUAAAUCAGAAGAGUUCUAUGGGUAUUUGCUAAUGGGAGGUGACUGAUGAGUCUUUGUUGCUGUCUGCAUGCUUGAUUAUUACCUUUACAUGUCUGAAACAAGUUUCUUUCGAGGUCUGACCAGAAAUGGUAUCUAUCUCAUGAAUGUAAAUGUCUUGCAGGUAUUAGAAAAGUAGUGGGAGAAGUUGUAGUAAUGUAUAAUUAGUAGCAUUCAGACAUCUUCAACAACUGGAUGGAUAAUCUUUGUCAGGAAAAGAUAUUAAUGACGCAUUAAAGAAUCACUUUUCCAUGUUGUCCUAUAGCGCAAUUAUAUUUAAAAAGUAAUUAAAAAUAUAUUUUUAAGGCAUUGCCACUUUCAAACUCUUCACUUCAACCAGUUCUGUUCUGUUUUAUAAGCUUUGCAUAAUUCUCAUGUGCAUACCUUGUAAUAAGAAUGCCUGUGACCAGUUGCCAGAUCAAGGGUUGUUAAAAGAAAAACACAAUAGGUAAUGCUGGAAUAAGCCUUUUUCUUGGAAGGAAAAGGAGAGAUGUUUUCUUUUUGUUCGUUCAUUUCCCUGUUCAAUGGUGAUCUUCUCCUUUUCGCUUCCCAUUAUUUAAAAAUAUUUCCCAAAACCUCGUGAUUGGCUAGAGUAUCUGUUUUACAGUAGAAUAGUUUUAUUUGGUUUUUUGUUUUAAUUUUUUUAUUUUACUCCUUUUCCAUAUGUAUGUCUGCCUGCCUUCCACCUGCCUCUUUUUCCUCCCACCAUUCUGUAACAUAGACAUGUGGGCUAAUAACUUUUCUAAAUGUAGCCAUCUGAUGUAAAGAAAGCUGGUUCUAUCACUGUAACUAUUUUCAAAAGUUUAGAAGCUAUUGGAAAAAAUAAAAGAAAAAAGGAAAAUAUUAAACCAUCAGUAAAAAAAAAAUUAAUAAAUUAUAUGAAGGAACUAAAAUGGAUAUUACCCAUGUUCUAUCAUUCCAAGGCAGUAAUAAAAAUGUGAGACUAGUAAGAAAAAAAUAAGUAAACAAACCAUGGUAUGUUGUAAUUACAGUAAUCUCUCAUGUCUGUGAAAAUAUUAACAACCAAAAUUGUAGCAGAAAUUACAUAAUAUAUUGGGCAGAAGGGGAGCUCUACACUCAUUUUCUUUAUCUGUUUAACCACAGCAAAGGACAAAUAAAAAAGAAUAGAAUUUCAUUAUACUUUUCAGUUUUCAAAAGGAAUAGAAAACAUAGACUAUAUGAUGCACUCUCAGCACCUCUGUUGCAGCACUCCAACAGCUGUCCAAAGAAAAAUAAUAGAAGUGAACAUUGUUAGUAGCAGUUUUGAAUUGUUAUUUGAUGUGACAUUGAACCUAAUAUCAAAUUAAAGUAGAAGAAGUUAGAUAGGAUACAUCCGGGGAGCAACUUCUUUUUCUUACUUCCCAAUCAUCUGAAAUUCUUUCUCAACAAUACUCUCAAAUAAUUCAUUCAAUACCUACCUGUGUAUGUGAGAAAAGAAAAAAAAAAAAAGUAAGAGAAGCUGGAAAAGAGCAUAAAAGGGCAUCAUCAAGGCCUUUAGUGGAAUAAGGCUGGCUCUUUCAAGGUGAGUGACAAUACUUCAGCUGGUGGUCAUAAAUGUGGUAUACCUAGAGAAUCAACCAUCUGCAAAAGCUUGAAAUAAUAUGAGUUCAUCCCCUCAAUGUUUUUUGUCUUUGUAGUUUUUAGCAAGCCUCUGCAGAAGCUAAAUUUAUGGUUGUAGCUGACCCCAGUGCCCCAGCUCCUCACACUAGAGAUUUUUUCCUUUUUUUCUUAGUCUUGACUGUCUGGCUCUUCCUCUGUCAGUUAGCAGACUGCAGUGUGGUCUGUCUCUGUCAAUUUCUGUGGUCUGUCUCUGCCUUCCUAUUGGUACUUGAGACCUAAGUCACCAAAGCAAAGCACAAGUGAGUUCUGGCUAGAAUGGUGAAAUAGACAAGCAAAGAAAAGCUCUCUAUCAUAUCUUACCUUCACACUCCAUGUUAACCAAUUCAGCCCAGUACAAUAAGAAACUAGUAAUUAAAAAAAAAAAAAAAAAAAAAAAAGGCAGCAAGUUAAAAUUGUGUGCCUUGAAUUAUUUGCAGGAGAUGAACAAUCUUCCUUCUGCUAUUUCGCAACUGAGCUUCAGUCAGUGAGAAAUGUGUAACUAGUAAAGAUGUGGGAUCCUCUGAUGGAUGGGUCUCUUUACUUAUAAAGAAUGUUUAGUGAUCAGAGAGGCUAUCUGAUCAGAAAUUUCAGAUUUUCAGAGUUCUCAAAUAUUUA